UAUGGCCAGCUCAUAACCCAGGGCUCCGUCCGACACGGGUUUGAGCUCCUCCAGGGAUGGGGCACCCACAGAUCUCUGUGCCUCGCUGCCCUCACAGCAAAAGGCAGCUGGAUGAGAGGCGGUCGUGGCCUGAACUUCCCACUUCUCCAGAUACUUAAUAUAGCCAAGUCUCUUUACAACACAUUACUGCAUUUUGAAAUCCUCUUCAAGCAAUCGUGGCCUCAAGGAGGAGAGCAGACAAAACUUACUUGUGGUAGAGAAUGACUUGCAUUUGCCAGAGCCUACAUACAGUUCACAAGCAAGCACCUACAGCCAAGGACCUGGAAAAGUAAAUCACAACGGCUGGUUCCUAAUAUAAGCUUAUAAACAAGCUUGUGAGAAGUACUCUGAAAGCAAGGACAGCCUCUAGAAUUCUUUGAGCUACCUGUGGAGAAAGCUUAAGAGAAGAUGAAUAAGAAGAGAGUGGGCUCAGCUCCCUUACCCUUGGCUCUUCAGUAAGUCACACAUGAACGUCAGGCAGCACCAGACCCUGCUCUUUAAACAGCUGGCAGUGCUCUACAAGGGGCCAUCAAAAGGCACAGUGACAGAGCAACUUUGUCACCAUUGAGUGUUUCUCAGUAACUACACACAAUGGAUGGAGGCUUGAUUAAACAGCGA
Molecule: non-coding RNA, 657 nt
Organism: Meleagris gallopavo (turkey)
Lineage: Eukaryota; Metazoa; Chordata; Aves; Galliformes; Phasianidae
Source: RefSeq, a predicted model, not a curated record